GUGAUUGCAAGGUGAGGUGCUUUUUGCACCAAUAAGAACAGUAAGGACAUGCUAAGUCUGAGCAUGAUUUAAUCGAAACAGUCAUCUUCAGGAAUUUGUUACGGUAACUUCUCUGCUAUCAUAGGAUAAGUGAGGCAUAUGAUCUUUUGAAAAGCAGAUGUUAAGUGGCAUAUGUGUCUUCAGUCACCUCUGUGUGGGUUGUUCUGUAGUAUAGAGGGUGUUCUAAAAAUGAUCUUUAGGAAUGGAGUGAGGCUUGUUUUUGUUUUUGUUUUGUUUUACACUUCCACACAAUCCCUUUUCAAUUCCUUGCAAACUGCUGAGUAUGUACUAUUUUGCCAGCAAAGGCUGAGCCUGUAUGAACCCAGCCAUGUGCUUUGUCUGUGCAUGUCCCCACACAGGAAGCACACCAGAGAAAGCGAUACUUCAGGGUAGAUUGAUUUCAUUAGAACUUCAUUAUCACCAGCCUCAAAUGGUUCUGGCCAGCAGUCUUUUUCUAUCUCUACUACCUUAUAUCAUUCCUUUCCUUCAAGGCCAAAGUCCUCAGAAGAGGUGGCAAUAUCCUCCAUCAUUUCUUCACUUCAUACUCAUUCUUCAACACAUACUAAUCUAGUCUCUUACCCCAUAAUUCAUUAAAACACUUAUUCUUGGGUCAUGGGUGACUUCUGUAUAGCUAAAUCCAGUGGAUAUUUUUCAGGCCUCCUCUUCCUUACAUUUUAGUAUUUCACCCUAUUGGCCAUUCUUUUCUUCUUGAAAUACUCUCUCCUUUAGCUUUUAUGACACUGUACUCCUGGUUUUUCUCCCACUUCUUGUCUGCUCCUGCUUAGUUCCCUCUGUAAACUUGGCCUCUUUCACAAGGCCAGUAAACACUCGAGUUUUUCAAGAUUGCCUGUUGGACUUUUUCUUUUCUCUCUGUGUUGUCUCUCAUCCAUGCUUACAGCCCUAAUUACUAUAACCAUUGUCAUAUAACUGGGUUCUGUAGAUUUGACUUUCUCAAUAUCUCCUGACUUGGCCACUUUUUAUCCACUGCUGCCACAUUCUUCUGCAAGCCACCAUAGCCACUUAACUGGAUUCUGUGGGAGUUCUUUGACCAUUUAAAUUUUUUUCUCUGUCCACCCCCAGAUCUGAUCAUUUAAUCUCUUCUAAUCCUCCUUAAUGCAUUUUGAUGGCUUUUCAUAGCUAUUGGGGAAAAAGUUUACAAUCCUUUAAGACGUUCAUGAGAGUCUGCAUUGUCUUGGCCCUUUGCCACACAUCCAGAGCCAUGUCUUACCAUGUUCCCCUGGCUGCUGGCUCCCCACUCAUGCACUGGUCUCCUUGUAGUCCUGUGCCCUUCAACCACAGACCUAUGCAUGCCUUUUUUCAUCACCUGAGUGCUCUUCCACCAGGUUUUCUCCUGGUUUACUCCUGAGCUCCCUUUGGAGCUCUGAGCUCUCCAUAUGCACAGUGGCUGUUCUCAGUGCCUUACUUCCUGGAACAUGGUAAAUGCAUAUUAAAUAUUGAGUGAAUGAAUAAAUGAAUGAACUUGCUAGUUUUUUGACUGGGAAGAAUUAUUUCUAUGUAGCAUACCAAAGCAUCAGGUUGUCUUCUCCGAUUACCCUUUUAUGGUGUUGUUUUUAUGCUGAUAGAUACGUUUUGGUAACCUGCGCACAUUGCCCUUUAUACUAAGUUUCACAACUACUUUCACGUAAAUCUCUUGAGAUCUUGGGUAAAUCAGUUGAGUUCUUUGAACCUUAUGCUAUAACCAGCCCAUAAUGUCCCCCCUCCCAUACUCAUACACAUUUCCAGAUGCUCUGUACGUGAUUUUUGUUCUAACUUCUGUAAUUCUUGAUACUCAUUUUCUGCAGAAAGAACUGAGACACAGGUUGCAGGAUGUGUGUCCAAAGUCAGAGAGCAAAUUAGGACUAAAUCACAGGACACCUGACUCACAGCUCUGUGCUUUGUGUGUGUGUUCCACCUCAAUUUAGGCUUUUCUCUCAAAUAUGUAAAAACUGUUUUUUAAAAAUUUAAAGAAUUCCUAGCUACUCGGGAGGCUGGGCUGAGGCAGGAGGAUCGCUUGAACCCAGGAGGCGGGGGUUGCAGUGAGCCGAGAUUGCGCCACUGCACUCCAGCCUGGCGACAGAGUGAGACUCCAUGUCAAAAAAAAAGAAUUACGGCCA
RNAcentral lists this long non-coding RNA (2153 nucleotides) under Homo sapiens (human). RNAcentral's name for it is "non-protein coding lnc-COL21A1-9:1". Lineage: Eukaryota; Metazoa; Chordata; Mammalia; Primates; Hominidae. The record is from RNAcentral.